This 468-nucleotide ribosomal RNA is filed under the name uncultured bacterium. Its description in RNAcentral is "partial 16S ribosomal RNA". It matches the Rfam family "Bacterial small subunit ribosomal RNA", at positions 38 to 507 of the family's 1533-position model. The record is from RNAcentral.
GAAGAAAGAGGGAGGCGUGCUUAACACAUGCAAGUCGAACGGAAAGGCCCUGCUUUUGUGGGGUGCUCGAGUGGCGAACGGGUGAGUAACACGUGAGUAACCUGCCCUUGACUUUGGGAUAACUUCAGGAAACUGGGGCUAAUACCGGAUAGGAGCUACUGCUGCAUGGUGGGGGUUGGAAAGUUUCGGCGGUUGGGGAUGGACUCGCGGCUUAUCAGCUUGUUGGUGGGGUAGUGGCUUACCAAGGCUUUGACGGGUAGCCGGCCUGAGAGGGUGACCGGCCACAUUGGGACUGAGAUACGGCCCAGACUCCUACGGGAGGCAGCGGUGGGGAAUAGUGCACAAUGGGCGGAAGCCUGAUGCAGCAACGCCGCGUGCGGGAUGACGGCCAUCGGGUUGUAAACCGCUUUCGCCUGUGACGAAGCGUGAGUGACGGUAAUGGGUAAAGAAGCACCGGCUAACUACGUG